Pan troglodytes (chimpanzee) is the source of this 45-nucleotide non-coding RNA. The record is from Rfam. Lineage: Eukaryota; Metazoa; Chordata; Mammalia; Primates; Hominidae.
CCAAAGGCUCUCUUCAGAGCCAUCAUUUACCCUGGCAAACAGUGG